Molecule: ribosomal RNA, 497 nt
Filed under: uncultured bacterium
Lineage: Bacteria
Description: partial 16S ribosomal RNA
Rfam family: Bacterial small subunit ribosomal RNA
Source: RNAcentral
GACGAACGCUGGCGGCGUGCCUAAUACAUGCAAGUUGAGCGCUGAAGGUUGGUACUUGUACCAACUGGAUGAGCAGCGAACGGGUGAGUAACGCGUGGGGAAUCUGCCUUUGAGCGGGGGACAACAUUUGGAAACGAAUGCUAAUACCGCAUAAAAACUUUAAACACAAGUUUUAAGUUUGAAAGAUGCAAUUGCAUCACUCAAAGAUGAUCCCGCGUUGUAUUAGCUAGUUGGUGAGGUAAAGGCUCACCAAGGCGAUGAUACAUAGCCGACCUGAGAGGGUGAUCGGCCACAUUGGGACUGAGACACGACCCAAACUCCUACGGGAGGCAGAAGUAGGGAAUCUUCGGCGAUGGACGAAAGUCUGACCGAGCAACGCCGCGUGAGUGAAGAAGGUUUUCGGAUCGUAAAACUCUGUUGGUAGAGAAGAACGUUGGUGAGAGUGGAAAGCUCAUCAAGUGACGGUAACUACCCAGAAAGGGACGGCUAACUACGUG